This 209-nucleotide long non-coding RNA is filed under the name Homo sapiens (human). RNAcentral's name for it is "non-protein coding lnc-RBM45-5:1". The record is from RNAcentral. Lineage: Eukaryota; Metazoa; Chordata; Mammalia; Primates; Hominidae.
UGGUUGUUAUCAAUAUGCUGUUGGCACCCAGAGACUGACUUUCGAGCCAAUUUAUAAGUAAAUCUCCAGUUGCUAUUAUAAAAUCCCUAACUAGAAGUGUUUUUUUUUUUUUUUUUUGGAAUCUUAUAUUAGCAUACUCAAAUCCUGAACAUUUUUCAUCCUUCCCACUUCCAGUAGGAGAGAGUUCUGAAACAAGUUACCUAAUUGCC